UACGUAGGUGGCAAGCGUUGUCCGGAUUUACUGGGUGUAAAGGGUGCGCAGGCGGGACGGCAAGUCAGCUGUGAAAACUACGGGCUUAGCCUGUAGACUGCAGUUGAAACUGUUGUUCUUGAGUGGAGCAGAGGUAGGCGGAAUUCCGAGUGUAGCGGUGAAAUGCGUAGAUAUUCGGAGGAACACCAGUGGCGAAGGCGGCCUACUGGGCUCUAACUGACGCUGAGGCACGUAAGCAUGGGGAGCAAAC
This 250-nucleotide ribosomal RNA is filed under the name uncultured prokaryote. RNAcentral describes it as "partial 16S ribosomal RNA". It matches the Rfam family "Bacterial small subunit ribosomal RNA", at positions 524 to 773 of the family's 1533-position model. The record is from RNAcentral.